GAAGGACCCGAGCGUUAUCCGGAUUUAUUGGGUUUAAAGGGUGCGUAGGCGUCCUGGAAAGUUACGGUUGAAAUCUCCUUGCUCAACAAGGAAACUGGCCGUAAAACUAUCAGGAUUGAGUACAUUUGAAGCGGGCGGAAUGUGUCAUGUAGCGGUGAAAUGCAUAGAUAUGACACAGAACACCGAUUGCGAAGGCAGCUCGCUAAACUGUAACUGACGCUGAGGCACGAAAGCGUGGGGAUCAAACAGGAUUAGAUACCCUGGUAGUCCACGCCCUAAACGAUGAUUACUCGAUGUGUGCGAUACACUGUACGCGUCUGAGCGAAAGCAUUAAGUAAUCCACCUGGGGAGUACGAUCGCAAGAUUGAA
Molecule: ribosomal RNA, 369 nt
Filed under: uncultured bacterium
Lineage: Bacteria
Description: bacterial SSU rRNA
Rfam family: Bacterial small subunit ribosomal RNA
Source: RNAcentral